GGACUACAAGGGUUUCUAAUCCUGUUCGCUCCCCACGCUUUCGCUCCUCAGCGUCAGUAUCGGCCCAGAGACCCGCCUUCGCCACCGGUGUUCCUCCUGAUAUCUGCGCAUUUCACCGCUACACCAGGAAUUCCAGUCUCCCCUGCCGAACUCCAGUGAUGCCCGUAUCGACCGCACGCUCACAGUUAAGCUGUAAGUUUUCACGAUCGACGUGACACACCGCCUACGAGCUCUUUACGCCCAAUAAUUCCGGACAACGCUCGCACCCUACGUAUUACCGCGGCGGCUGGCAC
Molecule: ribosomal RNA, 293 nt
Filed under: uncultured bacterium
Lineage: Bacteria
Description: partial 16S ribosomal RNA
Source: RNAcentral